RNAcentral lists this unclassified non-coding RNA (350 nucleotides) under soil metagenome. RNAcentral describes it as "partial contains 5.8S ribosomal RNA, internal transcribed spacer 2, and large subunit ribosomal RNA". The stretch from base 1 to 120 matches the Rfam family "5.8S ribosomal RNA", at positions 35 to 154 of the family's 154-position model. The record is from RNAcentral.
GAUGAAGAACGUAGCGAAAUGCGAUAAGUAAUGUGAAUUGCAGAAUUCAGUGAAUCAUCGAAUCUUUGAACGCACAUUGCGCCCGCCAGUAUUCUGGCGGGCAUGCCUGUCCGAGCGUCAUUUCAACCCUCGAACCCCUCCGGGGGGUCGGCGUUGGGGAUCGGCCCUUUACGGGGCCGGCCCCGAAAUACAGUGGCGGUCUCGCCGCACCCUCUCCUGCGCAGUAGUUUGCACACUCGCAUCGGGAGCGCGGCGCGUCCACAGCCGUUAAACACCCCAAACUUCUGAAAUGUUGACCUCGGAUCAGGUAGGAAUACCCGCUGAACUUAAGCAUAUCAAUAAGCGGAGGA